Molecule: RNA transcript, 6848 nt
Organism: Vigna angularis (adzuki bean)
Lineage: Eukaryota; Viridiplantae; Streptophyta; Magnoliopsida; Fabales; Fabaceae
Gene name: ENHANCER OF AG-4 protein 2
Exons: 14
Source: RefSeq, a predicted model, not a curated record
AACAUUGUGGGCAGUGGCAAAACCAAAAAAGAAAAAGAUCAGAAAAUUCCCAUUAGGUCCCAUACUCAUUGUGCGGAAAGCCAUUCUUGCAAAAACAACAAAAUCUACUAUUCUCUCUCUUCCUCUUCCUUCUCCCUGCGACCGCCUUGAAUCUCAAUCCCUGCAACUCCUUCACUCGCAGAUUCUCCUCCUUCCUCUCCCGAUUGUUUGCGCUCCGCCGCCGCCGAAACCUGCACAAGAUCCCCGCGGCGCUUCCGCGGGAUAUCUCUAGGGUUUUCUGAUCUUUCGUUCCUUUCCUUCUUCCAGGACGUCUUUUUUCAAUUGCGUGCACUCUGUGUAGCGUCCACGAGCCGUCAUGGCUCCCGGGCGUCGACGCGGAGCAAACAAAGCGAAGGCAAAUGGCCACUUGAGUUUGGGCGAUCUUGUGCUUGCUAAGGUCAAGGGCUUCCCCGCGUGGCCUGCUAAGAUAAGCAGGCCUGAGGAUUGGGAGAAAAUCCCUGAUCCAAAGAAAUAUUUUGUUCAAUUCUUUGGUACAAAAGAAAUUGCUUUUGUUGCCCCAGCAGAUAUUCAGGCAUUUACCAGUGAGGCUAAAAAUAAGCUGUCAGCUCGUCUUCAAGGCAAGACUAAGUACUUUGCCCAAGCUGUGAAGGAAAUAUGUGCAGCAUUUGAUGAGAUGCAGAAACAGAAGGCUAGUGGUUUGACAGAUGACACUGACGAUUCUCGUAUUGGUUCAGAGGCUCCUUCCAAUGAUGGGGUAGUAGUUAACCUUAAGGAUGCAAUUGACACUAUGUUAUCAAAUGCAGAACAAGAUAACAUAGAUAUGGAGAAUAUUGGUUCUAAUCUAGAGCACUGUACACCUAGAGUAGGGCAAAAUGACAGCCAAGAUGAAGAACAUUCUGUAUCUGACCAUCCAAACGAAAGUUCUUCUGUCUCAUCACCAGUGAUCAAAAGUAAAUUAUCCAUGGGUUCAGAGCCAAAGAAGAAUGGUAACAAAUCAAGUCUUAAAGUUGCAAGUAAUGUUAAUGAUUUUGGGCAAAAUGAUAACAGACACGGUGGUUUAGCAAAUGGGACCAAGCCAAGAAAGCUUGUCAAUGGUUCGCGAAAGAGAAGUGAAGCUGCAGGUGAUAGAGAUAGAAAUGGUGGAUCAUCUACUGGAAUUUUUAAGGCGGAAAAUUGUACUGAUCGUGGUGACCUUUCUAGGUCCAGAGAAACAAUGAAAGCUGGGAAGAAAAGGAAAAAUGCAUUUGAUGUUAAAUUGGAUUCUCCAGAUACUUUUAAAUCAGACAACAAUGAUAAUACCGGGGAAAAAGAUAGCAGUAUGAUAAAAGUCAAAACAAGUCUUGUGGUAAAAAAUGAGUUGCCUGAGUUCUCGGUUGAUUCCAAGGAUGCCGAUGGUAAAAGUUCUAGUUUGCGGAAGAAGAUGCAACUUCAUUCAACCUAUACAUUAGGGGCAAAUGAAUCUUUACAUGCUACCAAGAAGCUGAAGCGCAUGGAUACCAAAGAUGAUUCAACUUUGGGAUAUCCUUCAAAAGUUCUGAGAAGAGCUUCACCUGGUUCUACAGUUAUUGAAGAGAGACUAUUUAAAAAGUCAGAAUUGAAGAAGUCUACACCAAAUUUGAAAACAGAAAAAAGCUUGUCAUCAAGGGGUAAAAUUAGUGGUGCAGUUUCUGAUGAUUCUGUCCAUGAGCUGCUAGCAGUGACUAGACAUCAUAUCCAGGUUCAAAAAGUUACGCCUGAUUCUUCAGUCAUUGCAUCUGAGGAAAAGAAAGAAAGGAAUUAUCUUAGACUGAAAGGUGAUACAAGUAAUGUUAUGAUAAAAAAAGAAGAGAGGAAACGUAGAGCUGUUUGUCUUUUUGAUGAUGAUGAUGACGAACCUAAAACUCCUGUUCAUGGAGGAGCUGGAAAAAAUGUUAAAUCAUCUUCUGUUUCUGAUGCCAAGAAGAGCAACAAUGCACACUCAGAGAAGUCAGAUGUUGUUCCGCUUGCUCAAGGAAGUUCUAGUGAGCGUGAGGAUACCCAUUUGAAAGAGCCAUCAUCUCAAUUAUAUAACGACAGUUUGUCAAUCAAGCAGCCUCUAAAAGAGAAAGAUAGAGAGAAAGAUGACGAAGUUAUUCCUGUGCAUAUUCCUCAUAGUCCUGAAAAUUUAGAUUUGAAGCAGCUUCCCUCCAAUGCAGCAAAAUUGAGCUCUACCUCCCCACUAAAAUCACCUCAAUUGGUACCUGCAAGUAAGCCAAGUGCUGAGCGGAUUAAAGCUUCAAAGCUGUCACUUAAAGUUUCCAAUAAUGCUACUACUCAUAAGAGGGUUGAUCAUGGGCUUUCAAAGUAUUCACAUAACCUGAGCUCUUCUCAGAAUCAAGUUGCUACACAUAAAAAGAAGCCUUCAUUGUCGGCAGAAAUUUCUAAAACUACACCUGAGACAUUGCCUCAGGCAGUUGAAGUUCCUGUUUCAACAAUUGGUUUUAAGGAUACUGAUGCUCUACAUGUUGAUAGAUUGGAGGUAAGCACAGAAGGGAAAGGUACUAUGAAGCAUCUUAUUGCUGCUGCCCUGGCGAAAAGGAAACAGGCUCAUUCACAGUUUCCUCCCUCUGGCUUUCCCAGUGUUCAGGGGGGAACUCCUAGCCCGUCUACAGUUCAGCCAUUUCUGUCUGUCUCGAGCAAUUUUCUGCAUGCAGACAUGCAAGGAGUUUAUGAGCACACAUCAUUGGCUUCUCCACCAGCUAAAGAACAUCCUUCUGCUUCUCAUAAUCAACUUGAUGCUGAUGAAAUUGAGGAUAGAAGAGUUGAUUCAGGGCAAAGGGGUCCAGGUGGCUCACUGAGUGGUGGUACUGAGGCUGCUGUUGCUCGGGAUGCAUUUGAAGGAAUGAUUGAAACAUUGUCAAGGACCAAGGAAAGUAUUGGUCGCGCAACUCGACUUGCCAUUGACUGUGCCAAGUAUGGCAUUGCUAACGAGGUUGUUGAACUUCUCAUACGAAAGCUGGAAAAUGAAACUAGUUUUCAUCGCAAAGUGGAUUUGUUUUUUCUUGUUGAUUCUAUCACCCAGUGCUCACAUAAUCAAAAAGGCAUUGCAGGAGCAUCCUACAUUCCCAUUGUUCAGGCAGCAUUGCCACGUCUUCUUGGUGCUGCUGCUCCCCCUGGAGCUAGUGCCCGUGAAAAUCGUCGUCAGUGUCUCAAGGUUUUGAAGCUGUGGCUUGAGAGGAAAAUUUUUCCUGAAUCAGUUCUUCGUGGUUAUGUGGAUGAUAUUGGAAUUUCAAAUGAUGAUAUUACAGUUAGCUUUUCUCUUAGACGUCCAUCUCGGGCAGAACGAGCUGUGGAUGACCCUAUUAGAGAAAUGGAAGGCAUGCUUGUUGAUGAGUAUGGAAGUAAUGCAACAUUUCAGCUGCCUGGCUUUUUAUCCUCACAUGCAUUUGAAGAAGAUGAAGACGAAUAUGAAGAUGAUAUACCAAUCAAAUUGUGUAAGGAUACAUUUGAUGCAUCUCCAGCAGAUCCCACCCAUGCCCUUGGAGAAUCAGAAACCUCUACUGUUACCCCAAAUGACAAGCGCCAUUGUAUCUUAAAGGAUGUGGAUCGUGAGCUGGAAAUGGAAGAUGUUUCAGGUCAUCCCAAGGAUGAAAAGCCAACAUUUUUUAACAGUUCUGAUGAAAUUGAUUUGCAACUUCAGGUGUCAGAUAGCAAUUUGGAUCUGACUCCAAGCAUUUCAAACGAAAUGUCAGCUACUCCUGAGGGUUCUCCUCCUUUGCCACUUGAUUCACCUCCUCCACCCCCACCUUUGCCUUCAUCACCACCGCCCCCUCCUCCUCCAUUAUCACCAUCUCCUCCCCCACCCCCACCACCCCCAAUGUUGCAACCCCCACCUCCUCCUUUACCACCAUCAGCCCCUCCAGUGUCCUUGGUGCCUCAAUUGUCGGGACCAGCUCGGCCACUUCUGUCCCAACCAUUAAUGCCAUCUCAGUCAUCACAUCAGUCAUCCCCACAGUUGGGGUAUCAGCAGAGUGUACCUCAUGACUUUAGUGGCACUAAUAAUGGUAACCAAAUAGUUCCAAUGGCUGGGAAUUCAUUUCCUGGAGGUCACAAUAAUGCAGCUGUCAAGAAUGAAAUAUUUCCACAGCCUCCUGCUUAUGCUCCAACAGCAGGUUGCAGCUCCCAGGAACCUUCUGGUUUUAACCCUUCAAGGCAAUUAGAGUACGGACAGAAUGAUAUGUAUCUAAAUGCUCAAGUUCCUCAACCUAACCAUCAAUUUCAGCAGGGCAAUCCCCCAUAUGCACAAAGGUACACACAUCCUGCCCCACCCCAAAAUCCACCAAAUCCGUACCCAUAUUCAAAUCCUACAGUUCAGCAACAUCUUCCACAUUCAUUCCAUCCUCCCUUCCCUCUACCAUCUCUUCCUGAUGGCAGGAGACAAUUUGUUGCUGAUGAGCAAUGGCGAAUGCCAUCGAGUGAAUAUAAAACAAACAAUCAACAUAGUGUAUGGAGAGGGAGAAAUCCAUCAUGUCCUGGUCCACCCUAUGGGCAAGAAGGUCAUUUUCAGCCACCAUUUGAAAGGACACCAGUAACCACUGUAGGUUUUCAGCGGCCAAUUUCAAGCAACCUACCUGUUGCUCCAAUCUCAGGACACGUUGUACCUCAGAUGAUGCCUUGUAGGCCGGACAUUCCUUCUGUUAAUUGUUGGAGACCCACUUGAAGUUGAAUGGAGUCUUCUUAUUAGUUUUAGUGGUGUUGCUGGUGGAUCAACAUGAAAGGUUAAAUUGUGCCACAAAGUUAGAUUCGCCUGUGUAGUACAUACAACUUACCCAUGAAGAAAUUUUGAAAACUUGAGGAGGCUUUUGACAGGAUUGUGUAUAUUGUAAUUUUUCCUGACAAUGUAUCCCAGGAACAUUUGCUUCCAAGUUUAGCCCAUGUUUUUCACUUGCGAUUUCAGGUUUUGUUAAUGCCAAAGAAGAUGGUGAUCAUUUUUUCAUGUUUUGAAUGUGAUAACUGAACAAAGAUUACAGUGAAACUUCUCAUAAAGAUGCUGAUUAUUGAGUGUCUACAGAAAGUUGCAAGUCCAAGGGGACGGUCUCAAAUUCUCAAAUUCGCCGCACAGAAAAGAGGGUGUUUAGGCAUGUUUCAUAGCCGCAAUGUCUUAAAAGAUUCAAGCAACCCAAAUUUGAGGGCAAAACCUGUAUUUGGGAGCUAGGAAACCAUUACAAGAAGAGUUGUGGACCUUCAUCAAAAAAGAUUUACGGUAAAAAUAUCUACAUUUAAACUAUGGUAAGGUGCAAUUUUUUUAUUCAAUUUUACUCACUCUUCUAAUGAUUUGUCAUAUCUAUUUAACUUCCUAUUUUAGAAAUUAUUUACUUCCUAUUUACCAAACAUUGUUUAAUCGCGUGUACUAAUUUUAAUUUUUAGUCUUAACGCUGACACACAUUGUUAUAUUUAAUCGUUAUUGUUUGGUAAUUCUAACGUUUUAGCAUAGCUAACGAAAAAAGUUAGAAGCAUCAAAUAAAAAUCCAAAAAAAGUAACUCUUGCGGAUUUGUUCAUUUAUUUAUAUCCUGCUUCGGAACGAUUUCGUAAGAUUAUUGCAACUAUGUAAUCUUCUGCUUGUAGAACAAGCAAAACAAAUCGGGUGGAAAAUUUCCUGAACUUAUCUGCUUACCCAUUUUUAAGAUAACAUUAAUUGUGCCAUGCUAGAGCAUUUUAAAGGAAGUUUCUUAUUAAUAAGCUUUAUUUUACUGUGAAUCUUACAUACACGAUAUCAUUAGAAUUGAAGAGACUUGUUUAUAAUUUUUUUUUAAGUUUUAUGAAGCUCGUAUUUGUAGAACCUAGAUUAAAAUAACGUUUUCAUUGAUAAGAAACUUCCAUUGCAAAUGUUCUAAGAGAUUAGUAAAUGUAAUAUUAAUAUAUUUCUCUAACAUUUUUUACCUCAACCCAUUGCUGUGAAAGCCAAAGGUCUGAGAACCUUAGAAAGGGCAACAGAACUGGUUUGAUCACUAACUACAUAUACUAAUCAAAUGCAGUUGUAAUCCUUUUGCUAGCCAUCAAAGAUAAGUUUUGCAAUGGCCGCAGCUGAAAAUGGUAUGUAAAACUGGUUUUAAACUGCACAUUGAGGUUGGCCCAACCGAUGAUUUUGGCAUGACGAGUUUCAUAAUUUGCUUCCAUUAUACUAAAUAGCACUGUGCUUAAACCACCUGUUUGGAAUAAGAUGACAACGCUAAUCGGCUAGAAGAUUUCUGCCUCUGAGCUAGGCCAUUAGCCGAUCUUGUAGAAAACCCACCAUUGCUACUACUAUCCUGCUUCAAGAGCAACUCUGGAAUACGCUGAAGAUUAACUUCAGAUUUAUGAUUCCUCCUGAUAAGUGUAGCAUUCCUUUUAUCAAGGUUACUUUUCCUAUGUGCUACACCUGCCAUAAUAUCAGACCUCUCAUGACUAUCAGUGGCCAAACUAAGAGCAUUUCGGUGGUGACCAAGAGUUUUGCCGGACAUUGGUGAGUUUUUGUAGAACGAACCAUUUUCUGAAUAUUUAAGAGACCUUUUUUCGUACUCUACCAUGCUAAAGAUUUCAGAUGCGCAUUUCUUCAUUUUGGGUUUAGCUCCGUAAUGACCUGGCAAAGAGCGACGGACUGAGGAGAGCUUAUGCUCGGAGGACUUCCUUCUCAGCGGCUGGAAUGAUUCAAACAGUUCAUAGCUUGUAUUAUCAGCUGGACCAUUCUCUGUGUCAUCUUGUCUGCAGGAAUAACAAUGUUUAUGCUCAUCACUGAAUUAAAUGUUCAUUAGAAGUAAUAUUCUAUAUUGUAUUUAAUUGAAAUAGGAAAUUUAUAUUUGUAACCUGUAAGCAUUUACCUGGAGUAAGAUAUCAUCCAAAUUGCCCAAAA